Molecule: small RNA, 535 nt
Filed under: Pan troglodytes (chimpanzee)
Lineage: Eukaryota; Metazoa; Chordata; Mammalia; Primates; Hominidae
Description: processed transcript
Source: RNAcentral
AUUGGGUAGUGGACACUUGUUUACACAAGGGAAGUCGAGAUAACAUGAGUAUUGUACUAGUUUGCUUUUCAAAUGCUCCCAAGGUCUCAGAUGAAGCGGUGAAAAAAGAUUCAGAGUUGGAUAAGCACUUGGAAUCACGGGUUGAAGGUCUCAAUGCUUUUGAGUCUCAAUGAGUCCUGCUUUGAGGGUGAUGAAAACGUGAGAAACAUAGAUUAUGGAGAAGUCUGGCGAGGAAGGAAUGCCUGAUCUUGCCCAUGUCAUGCGCAUCUUGUCUGCAGAAAAUAUCCCAAAUUUGCCUCCUGGGGGAGGUCUUGCUGGCAAGCGUAAUGUUAUUGAAGCUGUUUAUAGUAGACUGAAUCCACAUAGAGAAAGUGAUGGGAUGGCAGUCUUGGGCACGUCCAUUUGUAAACCUGCUGAGAGCUCUGGUGACAAGAAAGGCAGUGGCUGGCAGACCUUCCAAGCACUCAGAAGCACGCGGACAAAAAGGUUUUUUUGUAAACCCGAACGAAAAAUAAACCCAGCAUUAUAUAAUUAU